GGGGAUUUAGCUUAGUGGUAGAGCGCUUGCCUAGCAAGCGCAAGGCCCUGGGUUCAAUCCCCAGCUCCG
Molecule: transfer RNA, 69 nt
Filed under: Rattus norvegicus (Norway rat)
Lineage: Eukaryota; Metazoa; Chordata; Mammalia; Rodentia; Muridae
Rfam family: tRNA
About the family: Transfer RNA (tRNA) molecules are approximately 80 nucleotides in length.
Source: Rfam by way of RNAcentral